CCCUUAGAUGUUCUGGGCUGCACGCGCGCUACACUGAAGCUAUCAACACGUUUUCCCUCCCUGAGAAGGGCGGGUAACCUUUUGAAUCAGCUUCGUGGUAGGUAUCGGGGCUUGCAAUUGUUCCCCGUGAACCAGGAAUUCCUAGUAGACGCGAGUCAUAAGCUCGCAUCGAUUAAGUCCCUGCCCUUUGUACACACCGCCCGUCGCUACUACCGAUUGAACGUUUUAGUGAGGCAUUUGGACCGACGCAUCUCAGUUUAACCGCUGGUUUGUGUUGGAAAGACUUCCAAACUUGAGCGUUUAGAGGAAGUAAAAGUCGUAACA
Molecule: ribosomal RNA, 324 nt
Filed under: uncultured eukaryote
Lineage: Eukaryota
Description: partial 18S ribosomal RNA
Rfam family: Eukaryotic small subunit ribosomal RNA
Source: RNAcentral